Molecule: ribosomal RNA, 468 nt
Filed under: uncultured bacterium
Lineage: Bacteria
Description: partial 16S ribosomal RNA
Rfam family: Bacterial small subunit ribosomal RNA
Source: RNAcentral
GACGAACGCUGGCGGCGUGCUUAACACAUGCGAGUCGAACGGAAAGGCCCUGCUUUUGUGGGGUGCUCGAGUGGCGAACGGGUGAGUAACACGUGAGUAACCUGCCCUUGACUUUGGGAUAACUUCAGGAAACUGGGGCUAAUACCGGAUAGGAGCUCCUGCUGCAUGGUGGGGGUUGGAAAGUUUCGGCGGUUGGGGAUGGACUCGCGGCUUAUCAGCUUGUUGGUGGGGUAGUGGCUUACCAAGGCUUUGACGGGUAGCCGGCCUGAGAGGGUGACCGGCCACAUUGGGACUGAGAUACGGCCCAGAGUCCUACGGGAGGCAGCAGUGGGGAAUAUUGCACAAUGGGCGGAAGCCUGAUGCAGCAACGCCGCGUGCGGGAUGACGGCCUUCGGGUUGUAAACCGCUUUCGCCUGUGACGAAGCGUGAGUGACGGUAAUGGGUAAAGAAGCACCGGCUAACUACGUG